RNAcentral lists this transfer RNA (75 nucleotides) under Ignavibacteria bacterium. Its description in RNAcentral is "tRNA-Arg". It matches the Rfam family "tRNA". From Rfam's summary of the family: Transfer RNA (tRNA) molecules are approximately 80 nucleotides in length. Their secondary structure includes four short double-helical elements and three loops (D, anti-codon, and T loops). Further hydrogen bonds mediate the characteristic L-shaped molecular structure. tRNAs have two regions of fundamental functional importance: the anti-codon, which is responsible for specific mRNA codon recognition, and the 3' end, to which the tRNAs corresponding amino acid is attached (by aminoacyl-tRNA synthetases). tRNAs cope with the degeneracy of the genetic code in two manners: having more than one tRNA (with a specific anti-codon) for a particular amino acid; and 'wobble' base-pairing, i.e. permitting non-standard base-pairing at the 3rd anti-codon position. Lineage: Bacteria; Pseudomonadati; Ignavibacteriota; Ignavibacteria. The record is from RNAcentral.
GCCCUUGUAGUGUAAUGGAUAACACAUCGGUCUUCGGAACCGCUAUUCAAGGUUCGAAUCCUUGCAAGGGCACUA